This 245-nucleotide ribosomal RNA is filed under the name uncultured bacterium. Its description in RNAcentral is "partial 16S ribosomal RNA". It matches the Rfam family "Bacterial small subunit ribosomal RNA", at positions 524 to 768 of the family's 1533-position model. The record is from RNAcentral.
UACGGAGGGUGCAAGCGUUGCUCGGAAUUAUUGGGCGUAAAGGGUAGGUAGGUGGUCUCAUUUGUCCGAGGUGAAAGCCUUGGGCUUAACCCAAGAAGUGCCUCGGAAACGGUGAGACUGGAGUCCUGGAGAGGGUCGUGGAAUUCCCGGUGUAGCGGUGAAAUGCGUAGAGAUCGGGAGGAACACCAGCGGCGAAGGCGGCGACCUGGACAGGUACUGACACUCAACUACGAAAGCGUGGGGAG